AGUUCACUCUAGGCUGCCAUAACAAAGUACCGUCAACUGAGUGGCUUAAACAACAGAAAUGUAUUGUCUCACAAUUCUGGAGGCUAGAAGUCUGAGAUCAAGGUGUUGGCAGAGUUGACUCCUGCUGA
Long non-coding RNA from Aethalodelphis obliquidens (Pacific white-sided dolphin), 128 nucleotides. RefSeq lists it as uncharacterized. The record is from RefSeq and is a predicted model, not a curated record. NCBI's taxonomy places the organism in Eukaryota, Metazoa, Chordata, Mammalia, Artiodactyla, Delphinidae. The transcript has 3 exons.